ACUUCAUUGAGUAAGACUAGUUUUAUAAAACCUUCAUACUUACUUCUGGUCUUGAGGUUAGCUUUUCCUCCAUUUGUUUGCUAAAUUUAUGCUACACACAAGAGUGAAUAUGUGGCAGAAUGUAGAGUUGUCGGUGGCUGUAGGCUCAGUGGAAGUGAGAGAGCCUGCACAGGUCUUUAAUUAGCUGGUGGUAGGGGGUGAGGGCGGCCUUCCUCUUCAAAUGCUAUAUGAGUGUUUGUUUGUGGCCUCCUAUUCAAAAAGUCAAUAUUGUUUUAGCUCUAAAUCUGGUGCAGUACCUAAACAGAUUAUCAUGCUACAGUCUAUUGAAUUUUUGUAAAAUUAUGAACUAUAAAUGUUCUUGCAUGUUAUGAAAACUGGUAGAAAAUGGUUCUGAAUACCUACUUACUAUUUUUCCCACCUUUUACACUCAUAAAUGUAUUUCUGCAAUAAAGGAUUAUAUUGAUGCCGUUUCUGAAGGCACAAAGUCUAAUUUUAGGCUGUCAUAACCUUAUAUACAUCCUUUGUUUAUAAUCAGGCUGUAUGAGUGUUACUGUUAGUGAGUGGACUGAUGGUCGGUGGAGCAGAAGAGUGGAGACCACGUACCGGCAAGCGCACUGUUUGGCGGCCCCACGCGAGAUGGACAGAUAAUAUAGUCAAGUCCACGGGGAAGCACUGGAUGCGGGCCGCCUCCGAUCGGACAAGGUGGAAAUCAUUGGGGGAGGCCUAUGUUCAGCAGUGGACGUCCUAUGGCUGAGAUGAUGAUGACGAUGAUGAGUGUUAAGUCAAAUCUCAUAUUUCACUGGCAACAUUUCUAGUUUUACAUAGCUAAAAUUAAAUUUUGUGCCUUCAGAAUAUAUUUCAUUAUACUACUUAGUUAGAAGUCAUUAAUUGCUAUUUGAAUAUAUUUCUCAUGUUUUAGUUGUACGAAACCACACUAUAAGAUGGAGGAUGGCAUGGACAUAGAGGAACAUGAUCUGUUGAACGACCCUACUGUGAGGAGUGUGUUUCCAGAUCUUGCCGUUCUCAAACAAGAAAUAAUUGAUUUUGAUACAAAUGAAAGUGUAGCACCAGAAACAUUUACAACCCUGGAAGUACCAAAGAGAAAUAAAUACAAAAAUCAACUACACAAUUUAACGGUCUACAGUAGGGAUCAUCCUACCGAGUGCUCCACUCAAGACCUGGAUGUGAAACCUGACCACCUGUGUACUGACAUGGAUGACACAAUAACUGUCAAGCGCAACAGUUUGACAGAAUUUCAUGAAGUUGAAACUGAAAUCAAGAAGGAAUCAGAGAAUGUUUUACCAAAUGAAUUGCCAUUUUACAGAAACAGAAUUAUACUAGGCAAGAUACAAGUAGAUGAGUCUGACGAAGAACGAGAAACUGAUGCACCAGGUGACUGUAAUAAUGUUGAAAACAACAAAACAAACAAUGAUCAAGAUUUGGCAGUGUCAAUAUACACUGAUGAAAAUAGAAGCAUGAGGAUAACUAAACAGAAUUAUGAAAAAAUGAAAAAAUGUUUGCGAGCGAAAAUUAUUUUAACAAACUGUUAUACAACUCUAUUGAACAACAACUGUUACUGUGCUCAGUGUGCAGUGUUGUUCCCCACCACUGAAGCGUAUAGUGAACAUUACACGAGCACACACACCGAGACCACUCACUCAACUAAAGCCUCGGCUUCUCUUGUGAAACGUAAACAAAUCAUAUACCCACGUGAGAAAGCAUUUGUGUGUGACACCUGCACGAAAACAUUCAGCAAAAAAACCAGCUUGAUAAAGCACAUUUUAAUUCACACUGGCGAAAAGCCAUUCGAGUGUGACAUUUGCAUGAAAACAUUUAACCAAAGAUUUAAUUUGAAGAUCCACAAGUUAGUUCACACUGGCGAAAAGCCGUUCGAGUGUGACAUUUGCAAGAAAACAUUUAAAAGAAUAAGUAAUUUGAAGGCACACAAGUUAAUUCACACUGGCGAAAAACCAUUCGAAUGUGACAUUUGCACGAAAACAUUUACCCAAAGAUUUCAUUUGAAAACCCACAAGUUAGUUCACACUGGCGAAAAGCCGUUCGAGUGUGACAUUUGCAAGAAAACAUUUAAAAGAAUAAGUUAUUUGAAGGCACACAAGUUAAUUCACACUGGCGAAAAAUCUUUCGAUUGUGACAUUUGCACGAAAAUAUUUACCCGAAGAAGUAAUUUAAAGAGCCACAGGUUACUUCACACUGGAGAAAAGCCGUUCCAGUGUGACAUUUGCACUAAAACAUUUGCACAAAAAAAUCAUUUGAAGCACCACAAGUUCGUUCACACUGGUGAAAAGCCAUUCAAGUGUGACAUUUGCAAGAAAACAUUUAAAAAUAUAAGAAAUUUAAAGGCACACAAGUUACUUCACUCUGGCGAAAAGCCAUUCCAUUGUGACAUUUGCAAGAACAUAUUUAGGCGAUGGUCCACAUUGAAAUCUCACAAAUUACUACACACUGGCGAAAAGCCAUUCCAGUGUGACACUUGCCCGAAAUCUUUUAACCGAAGAGAUACUCUUAAGAAGCAUAAGUUACUUCACACUGCAGCACAGCCAUAUGAUUCUGAUGCGUCGGAAAAAAUGAGAAAUCCGGGAAACAUGAGGAAACAUAGUACAUGACACGGCGUGAAACAGCGGGAUGUCAGUGAGUGUCAGUGGGGCGCGCUGCGGGCGAGGGCUCGGCCUCCGCCUGUCCCCUCACUGCAGGCAGCGCCGGCGACGCACAGGCUGCGUUGUCGACACGCUCUCCUACACCCACAUACAAGCGACUCCACCUACACUAACCACCUCAGUUGCAAUUCUGACAUCGGCGCGGACGGUCGCUUUCUAGCGGCGCCGUCUGUAGCCGUCACGUGUGACUCACUACUGAGUGACCCGGCUGCUCAAGGACAGCGUCCUGUUGUACACCGAGAUGCCUGAAAUCCCGGCUCAAUUGGAAGCCUCGGAACAGUAUAAAAUGUCAUUAAUCGCUAGGUUAAAAAAUCUAAAUGGUUCUUUAUUUUUAAUAAACAUUAUUAUGGCAUAA
Plutella xylostella (diamondback moth) is the source of this 3030-nucleotide non-coding RNA. The record is from RefSeq and is a predicted model, not a curated record. Lineage: Eukaryota; Metazoa; Arthropoda; Insecta; Lepidoptera; Plutellidae.